CCGCCCGCAUGGGAUUUAUGUGCCGCACGAAAAUUUUUCAUUAUUCAUUAUUUUUGAAAAAUAGGCUUAAAAAACACCAAAUUCAUCUCCAGAUCAAAGUCUUAUUGCUGUAUUCCGCAAGCGCAACUCAAAUUCUAUCUUUCUAAAGAUAUUACUCGCCAGAAUGCCUCUAUUUUUCAUGUCAGCCCUGGUAUGUAAAGAAAUAUACUGUAUAGUCUGUAGACUGUAGUGUAGGACGUAUUAAAUUAAAAUGAAUUAUGCACCAAUUUUUAAUACUUCAGAUUUUUAUGGGGUUUUUUUACUGGGUCAAGGAAAUUAUUGACAAGCAGAAUUCAAAUACAAAAAAUAAUGAAAAAAUCCCGCUCCAAAUUUUUGAAAAUUGUGGACGAGAAACAUGAUAUCAAUUUUCAUUGGCCCUAU
Molecule: non-coding RNA, 420 nt
Organism: Paramuricea clavata
Lineage: Eukaryota; Metazoa; Cnidaria; Anthozoa; Malacalcyonacea; Plexauridae
Source: the annotation of a GenBank genome assembly